Camelus dromedarius (Arabian camel) is the source of this 74-nucleotide small nucleolar RNA. The record is from Ensembl. NCBI's taxonomy places the organism in Eukaryota, Metazoa, Chordata, Mammalia, Artiodactyla, Camelidae.
AGGGCUGAUGAUGAAGACUGGUGUGUAUGAGUCACAAACAGUGAAUAAUAGGUGGCCGAAACUCUCAGGUCCGA